CAGCCGCCGCGGUAAUACGUAGGUCCCGAGCGUUGUCCGGAUUUAUUGGGCGUAAAGCGAGCGCAGGCGGUUAGAUAAGUCUGAAGUUAAAGGCUGUGGCUUAACCAUAGUACGCUUUGGAAACCGUUUAACUUGAGUGCAAGAGGGGAGAGUGGAAUUCCAUGUGUAGCGGUGAAAUGCGUAGAUAUAUGGAGGAACACCGGUGGCGAAAGCGGCUCUCUGGCUUGUAACUGACGCUGAGGCGCGAAAGCCAGGGGAGCGAACGGGAUUAGAUACCCGAGUAGUCCCUGUCUCUUAUACA
This 301-nucleotide ribosomal RNA is filed under the name uncultured bacterium. RNAcentral describes it as "partial 16S ribosomal RNA". It matches the Rfam family "Bacterial small subunit ribosomal RNA", at positions 509 to 809 of the family's 1533-position model. The record is from RNAcentral.